Molecule: ribosomal RNA, 301 nt
Filed under: uncultured bacterium
Lineage: Bacteria
Description: partial 16S ribosomal RNA
Rfam family: Bacterial small subunit ribosomal RNA
Source: RNAcentral
CAGCAGCCGCGGGAAUACGAAGGGUGCAAGCGUUACUCGGAAUUACUGGGCGUAAAGCGUGCGUAGGUGGUGGUUUAAGUCCGUUGUGAAAGCCCUGGGCUCAACCUGGGAAUUGCAGUGGAUACUGGGUCACUAGAGUGUGGUAGAGGAUAGUGGAAUUUCCGGUGUAGCAGUGAAAUGCGUAGAGAUCGGAAGGAACAUCUGUGGCGAAGGCGACUAUCUGGGCCAACACUGACACUGAGGCACGAAAGCGUGGGGAGCAAACAGGAUUAGAUACCCGCGUAGUCCCUGUCUCUUAUAC